UCCCUGAUGGUCUACUGAUUAGGAUUCAGUGCUUUCACUGCUGUAGGCCCCGGUUCAAUCCCUGGUCAGGGAA
Molecule: transfer RNA, 73 nt
Filed under: Bos taurus (domestic cattle)
Lineage: Eukaryota; Metazoa; Chordata; Mammalia; Artiodactyla; Bovidae
Also listed under: 5 other names
Rfam family: tRNA
About the family: Transfer RNA (tRNA) molecules are approximately 80 nucleotides in length. Their secondary structure includes four short double-helical elements and three loops (D, anti-codon, and T loops).
Source: Rfam by way of RNAcentral